This 1480-nucleotide ribosomal RNA is filed under the name uncultured marine bacterium. Its description in RNAcentral is "bacterial SSU rRNA". It matches the Rfam family "Bacterial small subunit ribosomal RNA". The record is from RNAcentral.
GAGUUUGCUCAUGGCUCAGGAUGAACGCUAGCGGCAGGCUUAACACAUGCAAGUCGAGGGGUAACGGGGAAGCUUGCUUCCGCCGACGACCGGCGCACGGGUGCGUAACGCGUAUACAAUCUACCUUAUACUGGGGUAUAGCCUUUAGAAAUGAAGAUUAACCCCCCAUAGUCUCUUAGAGUGGCAUCACUUCUAGAGUAAAGGUUACGGUAUAAGAUGAGUAUGCGUUCUAUUAGUUUGUUAGUGUGGUAACGGCACACCAAGACUACGAUAGAUAGGGGCCCUGAGAGGGGGAUCCCCCACACUGGUACUGAGACACGGACCAGACUCCUACGGGAGGCAGCAGUGAGGAAUAUUGGACAAUGGAGGCAACUCUGAUCCAGCCAUGCCGCGUGCAGGAAGACUGCCCUAUGGGUUGUAAACUGCUUUUAUACAGGAAGAAACACCUCUACGUGUAGAGGCUUGACGGUACUGUAAGAAUAAGGAUCGGCUAACUCCGUGCCAGCAGCCGCGGUAAUACGGAGGAUCCAAGCGUUAUCCGGAAUCAUUGGGUUUAAAGGGUCCGCAGGCGGUCUUUUAAGUCAGAGGUGAAAUCUUGCAGCUCAACUGUAAAAUUGCCUUUGAAACUGGUUAUCUUGAGUUAUUAUGAAGUAGUUAGAAUAUGUAGUGUAGCGGUGAAAUGCAUAGAUAUUACAUAGAAUACCAAUUGCGAAGGCAGAUUACUAAUAAUCAACUGACACUGAUGGACGAAAGCGUGGGUAGCGAACAGGAUUAGAUACCCUGGUAGUCCACGCCGUAAACGAUGGUUACUAGCUGUUUGGACUUCGGUCUGAGUGGCUAAGCGAAAGUGAUAAGUAACCCACCUGGGGAGUACGUUCGCAAGAAUGAAACUCAAAGGAAUUGACGGGGGCCCGCACAAGCGGUGGAGCAUGUGGUUUAAUUCGAUGAUACGCGAGGAACCUUACCAGGGCUUAAAUGUAAGUUGCAUUAGUUAGAGAUAGCUAUUUCUUCGGACCACUUACAAGGUGCUGCAUGGUUGUCGUCAGCUCGUGCCGUGAGGUGUCAGGUUAAGUCCUAUAACGAGCGCAACCCCUGUUGUUAGUUGCCAGCGAGUCAUGUCGGGAACUCUAGCAAGACUGCCAGUGCAAACUGUGAGGAAGGUGGGGAUGACGUCAAAUCAUCACGGCCCUUACGUCCUGGGCUACACACGUGCUACAAUGGUAGGUACAGAGAGCAGCCACUGCGCGAGCAGGAGCGAAUCUAUAAAACCUAUCACAGUUCGGAUCGGAGUCUGCAACUCGACUCCGUGAAGCUGGAAUCGCUAGUAAUCGCGCAUCAGCCAUGGCGCGGUGAAUACGUUCCCGGGCCUUGUACACACCGCCCGUCAAGCCAUGGAAGCUGGGGGCACCUGAAGUCGGUAACCGUAAGGAGCCGCCUAGGGUGAAACUGGUAACUAGGGCUAAGUCGUAACAAGGUAACC